This is a long non-coding RNA of Athene cunicularia (burrowing owl), 4232 nucleotides long. RefSeq lists it as uncharacterized. The record is from RefSeq and is a predicted model, not a curated record. NCBI's taxonomy places the organism in Eukaryota, Metazoa, Chordata, Aves, Strigiformes, Strigidae. The transcript is spliced from 5 exons.
AUAAUCUCAAAAAUUUUAAAAUUAUUUAACUUUAAAUUAUAAACAUGCCAUUGGAGAAAGCAUUUCAUCACAUACAUUCUUUACUGGCCACCCUUUUGCCUGAUCUGUACCCACCCAAAUGGCAUUUAUUCCCCAAUAUUCAUGAGAAAUGUAGGCAACAGGCACAGUAAUAAGGGAGGAAACAACUCACACAGCCCCCCCCCCGAUAUCUUUACGGUGCAUUUGGUAAGAGGUGCCUCAAGUCUUGGGAAAUAGGAGCUUUUCAGUUCACUGUGAAAACCUAUCUAGCAAAGCCAUGCUGUGGCGUAGGGAUGGGAAAAGCCAGUUCUGGCCGCAAAAAAGCCUGCAGGGAAAAUACUUUGCCACUCACAUACCAGUAUCUCCCCAUUAUACCCAUAUUUACUAAGGCUGCUGCUUCUGAGGGCGUCUUGAGAUCUCUGGGUUUAGGGGAAGAUAGAAAUCAGCCAAGAGAUUUAGUGUUUCAAAAGUUUUGAUGUAAACUGCCUGUUUGCAAGCUUUUACAGGGUGAGAAAAAUACUUUUCAUUCUUGUGCACAGCUGCUACCGUGGAGUCCUGGCCCUUAAGCAAGGCAGCGAGGUGGUUGUGGUACCAGUAAAUGCCCCAGCUCACAGGCGACGGCGAGUACAGGAACCAACGCAGCAGAGUUGUUCUUUGCGUUGCGAGACUUCCUAAUUACUGGAACAUUUCCCAGAAAUCUGCGCUGGACAGAUGUAGUUCAACUUCAAAUCCAGGAAAUCAUUCUUGUCAAAGUUCAUGUCAUUCAGAUGCACCCAAAUGUUAUGUAUUCCAGGUGUGCCCAGGCAUCUGGCCAGCUCGACUCACAACAUCACAACAGAGGUGUUUUGUUUGGGUUUUUUUUUUCAAACCAGCAGAUUUACAGGGUUUUGAGAUGGCGUAGGUAUUUAAUUGCUGACCCUCCCAGGGGAUCUACCCGUGUGCUGGGCUGCUGCAGCUGAUGCUGGAUCAGCAGACCUCUACAAAAUGAACAACCUUUCACAGCAUUGCAGUGAGACUAACUGAGACCAGCAAGCAGAAGAGGGGAGAGGAAAGAAACAUUGUCCAAGGACAACAGGAGAAACCUCAGCAUCAUAAUAAGCCAAUAUCUGUGGAAAAUAUGAUCAGUUGUUGGUGGAUUCUUUUUAAUUGUAGGGUGUUUUUUUGAUGUUUAAGCUCUCAAAUGGCUUCUCUGCCACAAACUGCACCACUCAGCUUAUUUAAGUUGGAAUGGUUGCGUUGCCUUGAUAUGGAAUGACUGAUCCUGCCAUCUUUGGAGACUAAACGACAUUUCUGUCUUCCCAGGUGGACUAGAAGAGUCAAAGAUGACAGGACACUUUCAGCCCACUGAAGGAAGAUAUUACAAUGCAAGAGGGUGGAAGACUGAGUUGCAAAUCUGCAGGAACCCUUGACUUCCCCAGAGAAAUUUUGUAGCCAAAUAUAGAUGUCCAAUUCCAUAGCAGGUUGGCAGCUUUCUAAUGUUAUUUGUGGUGUUUGAAGAAGUAUUAUUUCCCAAAGGCACUUACGGUGUUCUCUUUACUCAAGCCCACCACAUGCUGUAGUCAUUUUCUAAAUUCAGUUUGUAUUCUACCUCCUAAAACCAAGGAUGACUCAGCUCUACCUCUGCAACCUCUAACGUGCACAUAUCUAUUACGUAGAGCUAGUACAAAUUAUAUGAUCCACCAUUUAAGGCUUCAAUCGAGGUUUUUAAUUGAGAGCUGUAUAACUUUACCAUGCACAGGCUAGAUCAAUUUUUUGCUUUAAUUUGUGGAUUUUAAGAGAAUGGUGAGAGAAUAUUCAAAGACUUUCUCACUUCUGUGAACUCAUUCUCCAGGUACUGGCAGGAUCUUAGCAUAUGGGUUUGCUAAAGUUGCUGCUCCCAGUGAUUUUAAUGGUACCAGACACAUUCCUUGCUUGACUUGUUUGCCCUUUUUAUCAAGAGUUUAACAUCGCCCUUUCAGGGCACUUCUUUGCAUAAAUAUGUUCUUGUUUACAUAGUUGUGGUCUUGCAAGUGAUAAUGGGCAGAGCUGUUCACCUGAAACAUGUUUUACAGAAUAAACAGUAGCAGCCAAAGGUGUGAGGAUGAGAUUCUCAGCGCUUUGUUAGCACAGAUGGACUGGGAAAAGGGCACUAAAAGCCUUGGAAACAAGCAUAUAAAAUGGGAUUCUUGGACGGAAAUGUAAGAUGCCACCUACCUAACAGGGUUAACAGGAAAGGUGUUCUAGGGAAUGCCGCAGCCUUGCAGCCUUCAUUCGAAGUGGUACUGUUGUCACAGACAGCAGGUAAGUACCAGUUCUCAUCUCGAAUAUAUCUACACGGUAAAUUAACCAUGACCAUUGCGAGUGUCAACAUACCUGCAGUAGCGUAAACUGCCGUUGACUAGGACUUAUCUGAGAGCAGCCGUUUCCAGAGCCUUUCCCGGCUGAAAGCAUUUAGUUUUUUUCAGCUGCUAGCAUCACAUUGAUGUUUUGCUGGAGACUCUUUCUCAAUCUCCCUUCCUCCCUGCCACCUAACAGUCAUAUGAAUUAAUUGCACAUAAAGCUCUCGAUGACCACCAAGGAAAGAACAAGAUCUGGUGGGUUAGAACUGUUCUGCCUGGGGAGGACUGAUCUCUGUAUGAAGGGGAAUCUGUUAUCCUAGAACUUCUUGCUGCUUGUUUUUUAGGUGGUGCACCUGAGCACUGAUUGCCUCGCUUUUGAAGCAGAAUAUACUGUGUUGCAGCCUCGCGGCAGGACUUCAGCUCUUACACGCUGGUGUGUCUGCGGUGUAGUACUAGGAGCAGGGCUACGCUACUGGAGCUGAGAAUGCCGCUGAGGCCGUACCUCGUGCUUAUCUGUGAGGUUUCCUCAAAAGUAACCAGAUUGAAACGGCUUUUUGGAAAAAUGAGGGUAAGACCAUUGUAAUUGGAGCUGUCUCAGUAAAAAUACUUCCAAAAUGAAUCAAGUCUCUGGUAUGCCGUGCUUGCGUAUGGGGAUGCUGCUUUCUUUUGUGUUAACAGUGUCCUCCCAUAACCUAUUUUGUCUGCACAGGAUGAGGCAGAGGGGUAGGUGUAUUCUGGCUGUGCAGUUGCUCUGACCUCUGACAGAGGCACCACGUGGCAGUGGAAAUUCAGACUCUCAUGAGGCCUUCACGCUUUGCAUGCCGCUGUACUUACACCAUUUGUGACUGGAUUGCAAGUGGUGCUCAGUAACCUGCAGCCGAUUACUUCAGUUUCUGCUCUGCCCCAAAAAUCAGGUCUUCACGUACCCCAAACUAACAAGCCCUUUUUUUGCAGCUGUUUCACCACCAUGAAAAUAUGUUAGCUAAGAGGCCUUGCAACCAUUAAUUCUCACCAAGCACUAUGUAAAUAUUAAGUAAUAAAAGUAUAUUAAUUUAUAUAGCACUUUAAAUGCUAUAUAAAUUCAACCUCAAAUGAAAGCCCCUAUCCAGAGAUUUAUAAAGAGCUUGUACAUUUUGGCCUGGGAAGAAAGAAAAAUGCCUCCUAUUUUAAGAAAAGGGAAAAGCUUAACUCAGAAUGUCCUGUUAAUUACUCAUGUAUUCACAUUGCACAAUAAAGUAUUUACAUAAAAAUGUAUCCGUUUUCAAAAAGAACUUGUUAACUCCAUUUUCCAACUGAAUUUGGCCAAGUUGAAAAGAAAAUUAUAUAUGCUAGAGGACUGCAGUAAAAGAGAUUUAGGGGUUUUCAAAUACUAUAAAAAAGAGACUAUAAUAAGUGACUAGUGGACCAGUCAGCUGCUUUAAUUAAAACUGGGCUGCUUAUUGAUCUAUCGUACAGAUUUACCCCCAUCUGCAACAUUUCAGCAAUAUUCCCUUCAACCACUUCAGAAAAUAGUGCUUGUAAGAGACACUAAAGAAUAUGAAAGUUGGGAACGGAAAUGUUUUAUAACUAUGCGACGUUUUGUACAAAGAUGAAUUUUUUUUUUUUCAUUCUUUUUAUAAGUAACAUGGUGAAAUUAAAAUAGCGUCAAUGCAAAUUUGGUGCAAUUGAUUUUAAAGCCAGAAAUGUGUCUUUUAAUAGUGGCACCAGCUGUGGCAGAACAUCAGCACUGAAAGAAACCGGUGCCAUGCUCCAGUUGUUCAAAGAAAUCAGAGGCACGGCUGUUUCACACCGACCAGAGCACAAACUGGAGAAGGUGGUGGUGAUGAUGAUGAUGAUGUGUGCUGGUUUUAAUUAAAUUCAUGGAGAGCUUUGCUAUGCUUGGAGAGGUUGGCAGCC